RNAcentral lists this ribosomal RNA (445 nucleotides) under uncultured bacterium. RNAcentral's name for it is "partial 16S ribosomal RNA". It matches the Rfam family "Bacterial small subunit ribosomal RNA", at positions 354 to 796 of the family's 1533-position model. The record is from RNAcentral.
GUGAGGAAUAUUGCGCAAUGGAGGCAACUCUGACGCAGCCAUGCCGCGUGCAGGAAGAAGGCGCUACGCGUUGUAAACUGCUUUUAACCGGGAAGAAACCCCAGGACGUGUCCUGGGUUGACGGUACCGGAGGAAUAAGCACCGGCUAACUUCGUGCCAGCAGCCGCGGUAAUACGAAGGGUGCAAGCGUUAUCCGGAUUCAUUGGGAUUAAAGGGUGCGUAGGCGGAGCGUUAAGUCAGUGGUGAAAUCCGGCAGCUUAACUGUAGACUUGCCAUUGAUACUGGCGCGCUUGAGUGCGCUUGAAGUGGGCGGAAUGUGCCGUGUAGCGGUGAAAUGCUUAGAUAUGGCACAGAACACCAAUUGCGAAGGCAGCUCACUAAGGCGAUACUGACGCUGAGGCACGAAAGCGUGGGGAUCGAACAGGAUUAGAUACCCGAGUAGUCC